CAAGUGAGGCUACCGAACGCUGGAAACAGCGGUUAGGAGCUUACACCCACCCGUGUUUACAUACUAUUGUUGCUUUGGCGGGCCGUGGCCUCCACUGCGGGCUCUGCUCGUGUGUGCCCGCCAGAGGACCAAACUCUGAAUGUUAGUGAUGUCUGAGUACUAUCUAAUAGUUAAAACUUUCAACAACGGAUCUCUUGGUUCUGGCAUCGAUGAAGAACGCAGCGAAAUGCGAUAAGUAAUGUGAAUUGCAGAAUUCAGUGAAUCAUCGAAUCUUUGAACGCACAUUGCGCCCUGUGGUAUUCCGCAGGGCAUGCCUGUUCGAGCGUCAUUUAACCACUCACGCCUGGCGUGGUAUUGGGGCACGCGGUCUCGCGGCCCUCAAAAUCAGUGGCGGCGCCGGUGGGCUCUAAGCGUAGUACAUACUCCCGCUAUAGAGUUCCCCCGGUGGCUCGCCAGAACCCCCAAUUUUUUACAG
RNAcentral lists this unclassified non-coding RNA (475 nucleotides) under uncultured Phialocephala. RNAcentral's name for it is "sequence contains ITS1, 5.8S rRNA gene, ITS2". The stretch from base 175 to 328 matches the Rfam family "5.8S ribosomal RNA". The record is from RNAcentral. Lineage: Eukaryota; Fungi; Ascomycota; Leotiomycetes; Helotiales.